Molecule: ribosomal RNA, 1041 nt
Filed under: Triticum aestivum (bread wheat)
Lineage: Eukaryota; Viridiplantae; Streptophyta; Magnoliopsida; Poales; Poaceae
Description: partial small subunit ribosomal RNA
Source: RNAcentral
AUGGCCGCACCUUUUCUGCUCGUUCUUCUGCUCGUCGUCUCUGGGGGUGCUGCAGCGGGCGGCGAGGACGAGGCGGGGCUGCCCCCGCUCGAGCUCCGAGCCAUCGACGACCCAGGCCGUGGGCGAGCGUCCGUCGCGGCGGAGGAGCCGGUGCUCAUCGCCGAUAUCUCCACGCACGACGACGACCCGGGCCAAGUGCCCCGGGCUGAGUUCCGAGGCAUCGACGACUCCGGCCGUGCGCACGCGUCCUUCGCGCCGGAGGAGCCGGUGUUCAUGGCCGCCGAUGUCACCGCGGACGACGACGAGGCCGGCGAAGAGGCCCGGCUCGAGUUCCGAGGCAUCGACGACUCGGGCCGUGGGCACGCGUCCGACGCGCCGGAGGAGCGGGCGUUCACGGACGUUAUCUCCACGGGCGGCGCCUGCGGCCGCUUCGCCCGCCUCGUCGCCGAGACGGGGAACGCGGGCCAGCUCUUCCGGGAGCGCGUCGCGGGCGCCGGCGGUCUCACGGUGUUCUGCCCCGAAGACAAGGCCCUCGCCGAGUUCGAGCCCAAGUUCCGAGGCCUCGGCGCCGACGACCGGCUCGCCGUCCUGCUGUACCACGGCGCGGCGACCACCUACAGCAGGAAGCUGUUCCAGGCAUUCGACUGGGUGUCGGUGAACUCGCUGGCCACCGACGCGGCCACCAACAAGAGCCACGCCAUCACGCUCCGCGACGACGGGGACACGGUGUGGCUGUGGCCGUCGUGCGGGAGACGCGCUUGGGUCAGGGUGACCAAAACGGUGUCCGAAGAGGCCCCCCUCGCCGUGUACGUCGUCGACGCCGUGCUGCUGCCGAGCCACCUGCGACAGAAGCUGGACGGCGGCGACGGGCCGGCUGCUGCGUGCGAGCCGUCCGGCGGCUAUCUCGGCUGGCUGCACUCCUGCAUCCCGGCCUGGGCAAUGAUACCCAUCGCCGUGGUGAGCAUCGUGGGCUUCCAUCUCGCGUUUCUUCUUCAGGAUGCACUGAACAGGAAGAACAAGAAGGCCAACUUAUCUGCUUAA